UACGUAGGGUGCGAGCGUUAAUCGGAAUUACUGGGCGUAAAGCGUGCGCAGGCGGUUUUGUAAGCCAGAUGUGAAAUCCCCGGGCUUAACCUGGGAAUGGCAUUUGGGACUGCAAGGCUUGAGUGCGGCAGAGGAGACUGGAAUUCCUGGUGCAGCAGUGAAAUGCGUAGAUAUCAGGAGGAACACCGAUGGCGAAGGCAGGUCUCUGGGCCACUACUGACGCUGAGAAGCGAAAGCAUGGGGAGCGAACAGG
RNAcentral lists this ribosomal RNA (253 nucleotides) under uncultured bacterium. RNAcentral describes it as "partial 16S ribosomal RNA". It matches the Rfam family "Bacterial small subunit ribosomal RNA", at positions 524 to 776 of the family's 1533-position model. The record is from RNAcentral.